This is a non-coding RNA of Misgurnus anguillicaudatus (oriental weatherfish), 3435 nucleotides long. The record is from RefSeq and is a predicted model, not a curated record. Lineage: Eukaryota; Metazoa; Chordata; Actinopteri; Cypriniformes; Cobitidae.
AUCACGCUUUGAGAAUUUGAGUAUUUACAUUUGAUCACAGAUCUCCAAUAAACCCUCAACUGUCCCGCCAAAGUUUAUCCAGACCAAUGGCUACAGACUUUAUCCUUUGUGCAUUUACAUUUCAGUCUGCAGAAACAGUUAAAUACAGUUUCAAUAACCCAAAAGUCGAUCUUUUAAACACAAAGCAUUUUCAACUGAAGAGCUCGACAGCAUCUGAGCACACAGAAAAGUGCAUCAUUGCAUUAAUACGGAAAACAACAUAAAAGAGAUGCGAAUGAUUCAUUGUCUGUUUGAUGCCACAACUGAGCAAGAGACAGCGAUGCACUGAAAUGAAGAUAAUAAGGAAAUGACGCAGUCCGGCGGAAAACUGGGUUUGCACACAUCGCACAGUUGAAUGCUCGAGUUCAAAAGCAAUUCUUUAUCAAUGACCUAGGCUCGUCCAAAUUUCCUAAUAUGAAAGUGCAUCAGGAUGACCACAACAAAUGCAUAAUCAAUUAACUAUCCAGCGUAAAAACAAGGGCCAAAGGAGUGAAAAGUGAGUUAUGCCGUUUAAACGAAUAUAAAUCAAUAAAUUGAUGAACCUGUUGUCCUAUGCAACAGCAACAUAGAUCAAUGCUGCCCCCUACUGAUUAAAAGUUGUUACCUCUUGCUAUGUUUGUAGAUGCCUCACCUGAAAAACAAAUAGUCGCAGGAUGAAUCCCACUCGUGAUCAUCAAACAUGGCCACGCGAAAGUCACAUGAUGUACAUCUUAAUUGGUUGCAGGCCCUUAAAAAAACACAACUUGAAUAAAUGAACACAUCCAUUUAAAUCUGAAUCAUUCAUGACUGCACGAUUACAUUCUUACAUAAAGAAGAACUAUUUCCAUGCUUAUUCAUAUAAAACAAUAAGAACCAUUACAGAAAUUCCAAUGAAUUUGAAAGUGACGUGAUUUAAUGGUUAUAAUGGUAAUUGUAUUUGUUUUAAAGGACACUGUAAUGGUUUCUAUAAGUCUGUACUGUCUGGUAAUGUGAUGGGAUUUAUUGGCGGGAUGCUAUCCGGCAGAUAGGAACAGAACACCAUUAAAUCCUACUCUAAUAAGGCCUUACAGGAAUUUUCUAAUCGCUAUAAUGGUAAACAGAUAAUGGUCCUUAAAGGCGGGGUGCACUACCAAAACACACUUGUAGCCAAUCAGCAGUAUGGGGCAUAUCUACUAAGCGACAUCGUUGCCUGGGUUGCAUAUGUGUGGGGCGGGUCUAUUAAAAGACGGUCCAGAUUCUAUUAGGAUGGGGCGUGUUUGUUUAGGUGAUUUUAAAUAUCAACACUGGCUUUCAGAGAUCAUGCACCCCGCCUUUAACUUUUUCUCUGCGUUUUUUUAAAGUUUCCAGCCAGCGCCAGCAUUUAUUAUGAUUUUCACAAAAUGCCUUUAUGCCUUUCAGAAAAUUCAUCUUUAAAUAUAUAAACAUACAAUAUAUCAAAUGAAAGAACAGACCCUCUGCUUAAAAAAAACAAAAAACGUUUCACCCCACCCCAUUUCAUUCAAUCUUCAUUUGUUCUCUUUUUAUCACCUCUCAAAUAUGGGUAGGUUUAUUAAAAAUACAAAAUUUUGAGCAAAAAGCUGAGAUUAAUGCAUUUUUGUAAAUGACUUUGUUAAAGAUCAGAUUCAAAACGAUGAUCAAAACAUACAUGGAGUUUUUACUGUUGUUGGGUCAGUGGAUGCGUCAGUGUUUUAUAAGUUGGGUAAGAGUGCCACCUAGUGGAUAAUAGCAUAAAUAUGGAUUGCAAUAAAAUCUCGUCUUUGGAGGGAAAGCGUUUUCUUUUAAUGGACGAGAUAACUCGUCAAUGGCGGGGAAAGAGUAUUCGUAAAGGAAACGAUUAGGAUAUGUAAAGGUGCAUUUCAAUAAAAUGUGUUAAACACUGUUGUCACAUUAUCUAAAUAUUUGCAACAUGAACGUGGCCCCCAAAAAUGAAAAUUUUGUCUUCAUUUAACUUGUAAAAACGGCUAUUUCUAUCACACUAAUAUUUCAUUUACUCUCUGUUUUUUCCGCUAUGCAAUGAGACACACAUGCACGCGUUAUCCUGCCUGGACCAAUCAGCGUUCAGAUAACAACGCAAGUGAUCUACCCCGCCCUCACCGAGACAGCAGCGGAGUUUAGCAGGAUGCGGAGACAGUAUCAAAGUUUGCUGCAGUAUAAUUAAUAAGACGUGCAUUUGCCUGUUUGAUGAAGUGUUGUGUGUACAUGCCGACAAGAAAGAAUCUCAUACAGGUAUAGAAGAAUAUCAGGUUGAAACGCAUUGGUUACUCCCAGGUGGGGGUGACCCAUCAGUUGCAGAAUCAGAGAACUUUAUCACCAUUGUGCUCUUGAGCAACAAGUCCACGAGUUUCUUCAUGGAAAACUCAUUCUGCAAUUACAGUACUUUAAGUCUCUCUGGAAUACAACUGUCAGGCAGAGCAACCAAGGUGAAGCUGCCCAGCUGAACAUUUGACACCAGAACAAUCUAACAACAGAUAAACUGCUGUUGCACUGUUUACACAGAGCUCAUCUUCACUGUUGGGAAUAGAAAACCUUACAAUAAAAAUCUUUUAAUAUUACUUUAUCACCUCUUGCACAACGGUCUCAGCAAGCCAAUUGCUUGCUUAUUGUUAGAGGCUUAUCUUUGAGCGAGCGAGCAUCGAAAAACGCUGAGGUGCACAGCUACCUCUCCCCCGCAUAUACCCCCUCACCCUGCACUGACUCUAUUAAUCAGCCGCCCUCUCUCUGGUGCCGGGGAGCACGACUCUCUGCCCGCUGGAACCCACACUGACCCACACAUUCCUGGGGUCCAGCCAAAGCGAUAGGGGGCCGCUGCAAGCAUGCCUGUUUAGUCUUCAGACAGCUAUAACCUCAUCCGGUGACUGUGUUCUGAUUGUACUGUGCGUUCUGAACGGGCUGAUUCACGCGGGGUGUCUGACCCAUCAAAACACACAUUUCCCUUCCACUCGCUGUCGUCACCUCCCCUCUCGCUGUCCCGUCUCUUUAAACACAGGAAGUUCCAUCUGCACACACUGUUUUCUUUGUCGUUGCGAUUCGGAGAUCAAUGGAUUAGUCAUAAUCCUCUGACUUUCCUACAAACCAAGGCGCAACACAGCCAGAGUGCUGUUGUGAUUAUUAUGGAUAUAUGUUUACCGUCACCCUUUCAGAGCUGGAAGGCUGUCAACGUUUUCAAUAAACUGUCAAGCGAUGACUUGUAUCCAAAAGGAACACAACACCAACAUCUCCGAGCAUCUAGUUAUCACUUUUGCGGCUAAUGCAUUCAUGAUUAAUGACUGUGCCUAUGAUGCACACUAGUAUUGUUUCUUUUAAGGUAUGUUUCUUAGGGACACUCCACUUUUGAAAUUAUGCUUAUUUUCCAGAGUUAAAUAUUUGAUUUUUACAGUUUUGGAAUCCAUUCAGCUGAUCUCCGGCUCUGGCACGAGC